This is a long non-coding RNA of Cucurbita moschata (crookneck pumpkin), 565 nucleotides long. RefSeq lists it as uncharacterized. The record is from RefSeq and is a predicted model, not a curated record. The transcript is spliced from 2 exons. Lineage: Eukaryota; Viridiplantae; Streptophyta; Magnoliopsida; Cucurbitales; Cucurbitaceae.
UUUUUAAAACGCGUCUGCUAGGGAUGGUAGGGAUGCUAGGGAGAGGUUUCUACACCCUUAUAAAGAAUGUUUCGUUCUCCCCCCUAACCGAUGCGAGAUCUCACAUCCACCCCCUUUCCCCUUUGAGGCCCAGUGUCCUCGCAGGCACUCAUUCCUCUCAUUAAUCGACGUGGAAUCUCACACUAACAUUCUAACAAGUUUUACUCGUAGUUUUGAAAUAUUUAUGAAAACGAAGGGUAAAGUUGCCGAUUAUUUUUUAUAAUUUGGACCAACCUGAAAUGACUUAACCCUAUGAACUUCACUUCAAAUAGAGAAGUCUAGCUACAUAAUUAGCUGAAACCCCCACCCCACCCCACCCCACCCCUAAACCAUAUAACCUGAUUGAUAUCUCAAAGUCUGAUUGCUAAGCUACAAAACCAAUAUCAAAGGUUUAUGAAGCAGUAGAAAGUACCUGUGUAAUGAAACCAACGACGUGAGAAUUGCAGAGCCGAACUACAGGAACAGCCUGCAACCGAUGCUUUGAAAGCAAUAGCAGAACAUGGAAAAGUGUAUCCCUCAUCCCUAC